Molecule: ribosomal RNA, 253 nt
Filed under: uncultured bacterium
Lineage: Bacteria
Description: partial 16S ribosomal RNA
Rfam family: Bacterial small subunit ribosomal RNA
Source: RNAcentral
UACAGAGGGUGCAAGCGUUGUUCGGAAUUAUUGGGCGUAAAGCGCGUGUAGGCGGCUUUGCAAGUCGGGUGUGAAAUCCCUCGGCUCAACCGAGGAAGUGCGCCCGAAACUGCAGAGCUUGAGUACCGGAGAGGAUGGCGGAAUUCCCCAAGUAGAGGUGAAAUUCGUAGAUAUGGGGAGGAACACCGGUGGCGAAGGCGGCCAUCUGGACGGAUACUGACGCUGAGACGCGAAAGCGUGGGGAGCAAACAGG